AAUGAACGCUGGCGGCAUGCCUAACACAUGCAAGUCGAACGAAGGCUUCGGCCUUAGUGGCGCACGGGUGUGUAACGCGUGGGAAUCUGCCCUUGGGUUCGGAAUAACAGUUAGAAAUGACUGCUAAUACCGGAUGAUGUCGUAAGACCAAAGAUUUAUCGCCCAAGGAUGAGCCCGCGUAGGAUUAGCUAGUUGGUGGGGUAAAGGCCUACCAAGGCGACGAUCCUUAGCUGGUCUGAGAGGAUGAUCAGCCACACUGGGACUGAGACACGGCCCAGACUCCUACGGGAGGCAGCAGUGGGGAAUAUUGGACAAUGGGCGAAAGCCUGAUCCAGCAAUGCCGCGUGAGUGAUGAAGGCCUUAGGGUUGUAAAGCUCUUUUACCCGGGAUGAUAAUGACAGUACCGGGAGAAUAAGCUCCGGCUAACUUCGUG
Molecule: ribosomal RNA, 433 nt
Filed under: uncultured bacterium
Lineage: Bacteria
Description: partial 16S ribosomal RNA
Rfam family: Bacterial small subunit ribosomal RNA
Source: RNAcentral